UCUAUGGCAAGGAAACAUAUGUGGGGUGAGGUGUAUGAGCCUCUGGUCGAUGAUAAAUGGCCACACAACCCCCAUUUUUGUCGAAAAUAGCCAUGAACGACCAUUUUCAAUAAUACCGAAGGCUAACACCAACGGAUUUUUGACCAAGAAAUGGUCCCCACCAGAAAUCCAAGAAUGUGAUCUAUGGCAAGAAAACAUAUGUGGGUUGAAGUGUACGAGCCUCUGGUCGAUGAUCAAUGGCCACACAAACCCCAUUUUUGUCGAAAAUAGCCAUGAACGACCAUUUUCAAUGACACUGAACGCUAACACCUACUGUUGGGGACUUGUUCUCAAAUGCUAUGAGUUAAGAACAAGGCAACACAAAAAAUGUUAAACGUUAAAGUCCUUCGUCCUUCGAAGCAUUAUUUCCCUUGGGGAUAUAAUGAUUUUCGGACGAAGGUUAUGAAGGACAUACCAUCAUAAACACGACAUAUAAUAAUGAAGAAGAAAACAUAUGAAAUAUAAAGGAUAACGAAGACAAUUAUAUAUUAUCAACUCAUUUCUAUAUUAUUAUUAUGGAAAAAUAGAAAUGAUAUCAAAUUACAAAUGUACCUUCGGCUUAAAAGAAGGUAAAAGUACAAGCAUGACGCAAAAGCAAAUGUCAAAUCAGCGUGAACAGUACGGGGGCACUGUUCACCUAUUUAUAGGCACGGGACACAGCCCAUAUAAGAUUACACCCAUGCCCUUUACAUUUGGUAGUAAUUCUAUAGUAAUCCACCGAGGUCUGAAUAGCCUUUUCAUCUUUAAGUCGGUUUCCUUUUCUGCUAUCACGCCGAAGCUUUCAUGCUCACAUCUUCGGCGCUGCAUCAACCUUCGUAUUAUUUGGGCUUCUCCUACUGUGAUGUCCGAAGAUAUCUGUUCACACAUUAUACUCCAAAAACACUUGUUAAAUCAUGUUUUUGAGGACCUUCGGAAGCCGAAGGCCCCCAACAGUAGCCCCUCGCAAUAUUAAUUUGUUAGAAUGAUAAAUUUAGAUUGCGACAUGGACGAAGGCCUUAAGCCGAAGGUCCGAAAAAACACCUUCCUUUUGCUAGAAUAGCAACAUUCACUGACAAGCGGGGUCUUUCAAUUUUCAAUGCACUGGGCGUAUAAAUAAGAGCAUACCGCGAGCUCAUUUGAUACGCUCUCUUGCCAUCUGCUCUUGCUUUCUCAAUUUUUAGCUCUUGCGCACCAAGACUUGCUUAGCUUUUUAAGUUUUUAAGCUUCGGCUUUGAAAACAGUUUUUUAGCGUUUUCGAAGAUGUCUGAAGAUAAGAAGGCUGCUGCCGAGAUGAAGCUGAGUCUCUCUGAAGAAAAGAACCUGGGGUUUCUUAUAGCAAUGUCGAAGACCAAUACAGAAAAAAUCACCAAAGAGAUUUUAGAAGGUUUAUCUGAAGAUACUGAUGACAAUGACAGUUAUGAUGUGGAUAGUGGUGGUGAAGACUUCGAAGAUCGCCCCUAGCGACCAAGCCAUGCGGUUUUUGGCAAAUCAAGUAUCAAAGAAAAUCAUCUUGUCAACAUGAGGGGAAGAUAUUUCCGGGACUUAUCCAUUGUGAGAGCCGACGAAGGAGAGAAGACUUGCCCGUCCCCUGAAGAAAAUGAAGUCGUAGUGUUCCGAAGCUUUUUGAAAGUUGGACUACGAUUUCCCCUGAGCAGCUUUGUCGUAGAGGUGCUGAAAACAUUUGAAGUCUAUCUUCACCAACUUACCCCCGAAGCAAUCAUAAGGAUGAAUAUCUUCGUGUGGGCUGCGAGAAGCCAAGGUCUGGAACCUGACGCAAAAAGUUUUUGCAACAUACACGAAUUGUUAUACGAAACAAAACCCUGGGGUAAGGAGCAGUAUCACAACAACUUUGGCUGCUAUAGCUUCGGCUCUCGCUCUAGGUCAAGCUGCCCAGUGCCGACCUUUCGCAAGAGGUGGCCUGGCGACUGGAUGACGGAAUGGUUUUAUGUGAAAAAUGAUUUGAACUCUCGAGAAGAUAUAAGGAAGGUCAUUAUGCGCCCCAUCUGGCAAAGCUUCGGCCUGCGAAGGCCGAAGGUGGAAAUGAACGAAGCAGCCGAUGAAUGCCAGAGAGCCUUCGGAGUUGUUUGCUCUUUUAUUGGAACGAGGGAUUUGGUCCAAGAGCAUAUUGCCUUCAGAGUAUGGCCGCUCACGGAAAAAUGGGAAAUGCCGCAAGAGACCAUAAAGGAGGCUGACGAAGGUGGACUUAUCAGGCUGAAGUAUACUUUCAAGUUCGGAGAUAAAUUCGUUGAGCCAGAUGAUGACUGGCUAAAAAACAUUGAAAAUGUAAGUGAUGAACUACUUGGGGCUUAUUCAAAGGCCGAAGAUACUGCAUUGUCGGCAGCCUUUGGAGGCCGGAAAAAGAAAAGACUGAACCGAGUGUUCGACGCAAUCGGGUUCGUCUACCCUGACUAUCGUUAUCCCAUUCGAGGGCAGAAAAGAAAAGGCACGACUUCUGCGAAAGAAGAAGCUGCAGCUGUUCCUAGUGAGCCAGCACCGAAAAGAGAAAGGAUAAAGGUCCUCACACAUCGGCCACACUAUAUUGAACCAGCUUCGGUGCCUGAGUUCACCGGAGAGACCUCUUCGGCCACCGAGGCUGAAGAGCCAACCUUGCUGCCAGAAGUCGCUGAAAUGGCCGAAGCGCCAACAACAACAGAAUUGGAGGAACCAAAGAUUUUAUUACCAGAAACCAGAGAGAUGGCCGAAGCGCCAUCGACAGAAAAGAUGGAAGAAGCAAAAGGAUCAACUGAGGGAUCAAAAAUAUCAGAAAUUUUAAGUCCUUCAGUAGAAAUUGAAGUAGCAGGAAUUAAGAAGGGGCCAAUAGUGACCCCAAAAAGAAAAAGAAUGGUCAAUGUGCUAGAUGUUCUGGAGACAAUUAAGUCCUCAAGCACAACUCCGAAGAAGACUGUUGAAACUUCCGAAGCGGAAACUAAAAUUUUUGAUACUCAAGCUCCAAAGCAACAAACUGAGGCUGAAGCUGGGCCUUCAGAGCCCACGAAGGUAAAAUCCUUGGAAACCGAGGAAGAAAAAAUGUCGGAGCCAAUUCUUGUUGAAGAAAUCAGUGCUGUUGCCCCCGAAGCAUCCCCCAAAGUUCUUGAUUAUAUUGUUCGACAUGCUUCGGGGAAAAAGUUGUCUGAAAAAGAAAAACAAGAGGCCCAAUUCUACGCCCAGAAACUGAAAUAUCCAAAAGGGGCGUUGAUAUUCAACGGCAGCGGAGAAGAAGACUUCUUGUAUUGUCUCCCUGACAGCAAGGAGAUUUCUGUCUGCCGGGAGAUGAGCAAGAGCUUCGGAUUCCCAACACUAGAAGACGGGCUCUCGGUGUUGUCGAAAAACGAGCUGGCCGACAGCUUGGCGUACAAUAGCUUAAAGGUGCAAAAAUGAAGUCUUUGCAUUUUUUCUUGAGACCAAAAUUUUUCGUUUGCUUAAAUUUAUUGACGCACACACAUUUUUUUGCAGGGCCUUAUACUUAGCAAUGCCCUCAGGGCUCAAAAAGAUGCAGAAGACGAAGGGUGUGUUAUAGCCCUAAGCAACCUUCGUUCCGAAGUAAUUGAACUAAGGAACGAAGGUCUCGAAAAAGAUAGAAUAUUACAUUCAUUGAUAAAUAGAAUAAAAGAAGACGAAGCUACAUUUAAAGGUCAAGCUGAGGCUCAGAAGCGUGAAAUUGAAGAUCUUCGAAAACAACUAGCCAGAGCUAGAGAGGAACGUAUACUUGAAGAAACGAAGCGAGAACUUAGCGACCAAUGGGCAAAUCAUUUAGAAGGAACUGUUGAAGAGCUUCGAUCGUCCAAGAAAAGAUGCUAUGUCAAAUCUAUGGAGUGUGUUAAGAAAAUGAAAGCUAGCUUCGCCAGCGUUGGCGCAUUCUCGAGCGAAGAAAACUUUACAAGAGGCAACCCUGAAGGUUCCAUCGAAUGGAUUAAUCACGAAGCUGAGGCAUUUGAGGAAAUUUUAAAUAGUCGCGGAGACAUAUGUGCUUUUUCGGGUGCCAGGGGGAUUGCCACCAUUUUGGAGAAAAAGGGCUGCGAGCAUGUAAAGAUUUUAGCGCAAACCGAAGCUACCUUGUCCUUCGAAGAUGCAAAAGAUCCUUCAGCCAAAGCUAGCAUGGUUGGUGGAAAAUUUUUCACCGAUGUCUGGGACAAUGGUGGUCGAGAAAUGGCUCGAGAAAUUAUCCAAAAAAGCGAAAAGGGCAUCCAUGAUGCUAGAAAAGUGGCAGAGGCUGCUGAGAAAAGCGCAGAGCCCGAAGGGCAAAUAGGUAUUAACUAAUGGUUUUUAUUGUGUUGUAAUUUUUGAUUUUAAACUUCGUUCGCAAUUUGUAAUAGCAAUGUAGCUUUAUCUUGUCCUCCCUCAGAUCCUACUAAAGCGUUUCCGGGCCCUCCCCCGAAAGAAGGCGACGAAAUUAAAAAGAUGGCUGAAGCUAUCAUGGAUCAAGUUGUUAAUCAACUCCUGAACAAAGCUGCGGAAGUUGUACUUAGGGAAGACUAAGUGUUAUUGUAAAAACUUCUGAAAUGUAAUAUGUGUGAUAUCUUGUAACUCUGAAUGUAAUAUACUUGUUUUUUAUGGUUCAAUUCUUUACGAUGCAUGAAAUUUUUCAUACGUACCUUUUUUGAGUCUUUGACGAAAAAACACCUUCCCUUCUUUUCAUGCUUCGUGAAGAAGAAUUUUCAUUUAUCACAACAAAAUACCCAUAGUGUUCUGAUGAAGAAUAUCCAAGCUUCGUGAAAAUAUUCUCCGAAGCUACAUUCCGAAGAUCAAUAUUGUAUCUCCUUGUGACUUAACAUGUUUUCCCUUUUUCAAAGCAUUCUUCCGAAGAUCGAUAUUGUGUCCCCUUCUUGUGCCAUAUGCAGCAUGAUGUAUGAUGCUUAUGCUAUGCGAAAUGAUAUGAUGAUGUUAUGCUAUGUAAAAUGGUAUUUAUUCCGAAGAUACACGCACAUCCGUGCGAUAAAACACACAAUCUUUUUAAAUCAGCGUUGACUUUUCGCUGUAAGCCUCCCUUAGGAGCUUCUUCGCCUUUUACUUCAGCGGAAUCAGCGUUUAUUUUUCGCUGUAAGCCUCCCUUAGGACUUCUUCGCCUUUUACUUUCGGCGGUAUUCGCGUUGACUUUUCGCGCUUCACCUUUUACUUAGGCGGUAUCAGCGUUUAUUUUUCGUUGUAAGCUCUGCAUUCCCUUUGGAACGACUUUGGAGCAGAAAACUUACACUGCGCUCCCUUUGGAACGGCUUUUUGUAACUUCAGCAAACUUACUCUGCGUUCCUUAGAACGACUUUUUGUUGCUUCGAAGAAUUCAUACCGUGCCUUUUAAAAUAAAUUUUUGAUAAUUCGAAGGUCCUCCUUGCUAUCGCAAAUCUUUAAGCUCCAACAGCUUAAGCCUGUGGGGAAGAUAUAUUUUCCUUGUGGCAAACAAUGAAACUAUUACAUGAGAUCUAAAAAGUGUCCUUUAUUACACAGAAAAUAAAACUGAAUGGAAAAGACUACUAUCAAGGUAGGAUAUUUGUCAAUAAAUGUGCUUCGACUCAGGCACAGUGCUAUUGACUGUGCGAGCUUCGGACUGUUCUCUGAAGUCCCUUUGUUGUUGAGCAUAUUUCCCCCCUUCUGGCUACUGGCCUUGUUGCAUCGGUGGUGGAGGCGGAGGCUGUUGCCAGGAAGCUUGAGGUUGACUCGCCGAAGCAACAGAAACUGCAGGGUGGUUGCCUACAUAUUCUGAGAUAUAAGGCGAAUGAUACGAAGCAGUGUGCAUGACCUGCUUCGGCUGACCCUGUUGUGCUGCAGCUUCGGCUAUCUCCUUUUGCUUCUGGAUGGUAACAUGGCACAUCCUGGUGGUAUGGCCCUUGUUUUCACCACAGAACAAGCAAAAUAUUCUCCUUGGUUGAUCUCCAAAUCUUCCGCCGAAGCCCCUGGCGCCUCUGCCUCUUGGAGCUGGCGGCCGGAAGGAGCUUUGCUGUUGCCCCAAAGCCUGUGAGGAGCACUGUGGCCUUUGCUGCUGACUCCCCUUGUCAUCAUUUUGAUUAGAGUUGUGAAUUGACCUAACAUGCCUCGGAUAAAAUCUUCCUCCGAAGCCCCUAGUCAUUUCGGAAAACCUGAAAGCCUCCUCCCUUCUUUGACGAAAAUCAUUGUCGGCACGAAUAUACUCGUCCAUCUUCUGGAGCAGCUUCUCCAAAGUUUGAGGAGGCUUCCUGGCAAAGUACUGAGCUGAAGGUCCUGGCCGAAGUCCCUUGAUCAUGUCCUCAAUGACAAUUUCGUUGGGCACUGUUGGUGCCUGUGCCCUCAAACGCAAGAACCUCCGGACAUACGCCUGAAGGUAUUCUUUGUGAUCCUGGGUGCACUGGAAUAGAGCUUGAGCAGUGACCGGCUUCGUCUGAAACCCUUGGAAGCUGGUUAACAACAUGUCCUUCAGCUUUUGCCAUGAAGUGAUCGUUCCUGGUCGAAGAGAGGAAUACCAGGUUUGAGCAACACUCCUGACAGCCAUAACAAAAGAUUUUGCCAUGACUGCAGUAUUGCCACCAUACGAAGAUACUGUUGCUUCGUAGCUCAUCAAAAACUGCUUCGGGUCUGAAUGGCCGUCGAAUAUGGGAAGCUGAGGCGGCUUGUAGGACGGAGGCCAAGGUGUAGCCUGCAACUCAGCAGACAGAGGAGAAGCAUCAUCAAAAGCGAAAUUUCCAUGAUGGAAAUUCUCAUACCAGUCAUCUUCGUUGAAGAAAUCCUCCUGAUGAAGGUCCUUAUGCUGAGGCCUUCGGUUCUGCUCAUCCUGAGUAAGAUGAUGAACUUCUUCAGAGGCUUCGUCUAUCUGCCUUUGCAGUUCAGCUAGCCUGGCCAUCUUUUCCUUCUUCCUCUGCACCUGUUAAUGAAGCAUCUCCAUGUCUCUGAUUUCUUGGUCUAGCUCGUCCUCUGGCGGUGUCGGGCUGACAGCCUUCCUCUUCUGGCUUCGGGCCUCCCGAAGGGAGAGAGUCUCCUGAUUGGGGUCCAGCGGUUGCAGAGCUGCAGCCCCAGCUGCUGAAGCUUUCUUCGGCGCCAUAGUGAAGGUUUAUGAUUGCCGAAGGUGUUCAAAACUCAAAGAGUGGAAGUGAGUUCACCGGAGGUGGGCGCCAAUGUUGGGGACUUGUUCUUAAAUGCUAUGAGUUAAGAACAAGGCAACACAAAAAAUGUUAAACGUUAAAGUCCUUCGUCCUUCGAAGCAUUAUUUCCCUUGGGGAUAUAAUGAUUUUCGGACGAAGGUUAUGAAGGACAUACCUUCAUAAACACGACAUAUAAUAAUGAAGAAGAAAACAUAUGAAAUAUAAAGGAUAACGAAGACAAUUAUAUAUUAUCAACUCAUUUCUAUAUUAUUAUUAUGGAAAAAUAGAAAUGAUAUCAAAUUACAAAUGUACCUUCGGCUUAAAAGAAGGUAAAAGUACAAGCGUGACGCAAAAGCAAAAGUCAAAUCAGCGUGAACAGUACGGGGGCACUGUUCACCUAUUUAUAGGCACGGGACACAGCCCAUAUAAGAUUACACCCAUGCCCUUUACAUUUGGUAGUAAUUCUAUAGUAAUCCACCGAGGUCUGAAUAGCCUUUUCAUCUUUAAGUCGGUUUCCUUUUUUGCUAUCACGCCGAAGCUUUCCUGCUCACAUCUUCGGCGCUGCAUCAACCUUCGUAUUAUUUGGGCUUCUCCUACUGUGAUGUCCGAAGAUACCUGUUCACACAUUAUACUCCAGAAACACUUGUUAAAUCAUGUUUUUGAGGACCUUCGGAAGCCGAAGGCCCGCAACACCUACGGAUUUUUGACCAAGAAAUGGUCUCCACCAUAAAUCCAAGAAUGUGAUCUAUGGAAAGGAAACAUGUGUAGUGAGGUGUAUGAGCCUUUGGUCGAAUAUCAAUGGCCACACAACCCCCAUUUUUGUCGAAAAUAGCCAUGAACGACCAUUUUCAAUAGUACCAAAGGCUAAAACAUUCAGAUUUUUGACCAAGAAAUGGUCUCCACCAGAAAUCAAAGAAUGUGAUCU
Molecule: long non-coding RNA, 7986 nt
Filed under: Zea mays
Lineage: Eukaryota; Viridiplantae; Streptophyta; Magnoliopsida; Poales; Poaceae
Description: long non-coding RNA (ZMAY_LNC005797)
Source: RNAcentral